UGAGGAAUCUGUCCAUCGGCGGGGGAUAGCCGGCCCAACGGCCGGGUAAUACCGCGUACGUCGGCGGGAGCGCAUGCUCCUGCCGGGAAAGCAGCAAUGCACCGAUGGAGGAUCUCGCGGCCUAUCAGCUUGUUGGUGAGGUCACGGCUCACCAAGGCGACGACGGGUAGCUGGUCUGAGAGGAUGAUCAGCCACAUUGGGACUGAGACACGGCAGA
RNAcentral lists this ribosomal RNA (217 nucleotides) under uncultured bacterium. RNAcentral describes it as "partial 16S ribosomal RNA". It matches the Rfam family "Bacterial small subunit ribosomal RNA", at positions 118 to 335 of the family's 1533-position model. The record is from RNAcentral.